AAGUCGUAACAAGGUUUCCGUAGGUGAACCUGCGGAAGGAUCAUUAACAAAUUGUCCCCACCCAACCACAUUUGUGAACUGUUAUAGCACUCAUGGUGUGCACCGUCCUAGGCGGCGUCCAAGCUUAGAAUGCUUGGACAUUUCUUAGGCGGACCACCAUGCAUAUUUACGCGAAACUUACAACAGAACUGAGACUUCACAUAAAUGAAGACAACUUUUAGCAACGGAUCUCUAGGCUCUC
Molecule: unclassified non-coding RNA, 241 nt
Filed under: fungal sp.
Lineage: Eukaryota; Fungi
Description: partial internal transcribed spacer region
Rfam family: Eukaryotic small subunit ribosomal RNA (bases 1-46)
Source: RNAcentral